UUCAUAUAUCAUCUCAAUGACAAUUUGUCAUAUAUCAUCUCAAUCACAUGUUUUUACAAGCUAAAAAAUAUGCUGCCCAUUUAUGUCAAAGUGUUCUGAUGGCCUCCACGUCUAACGAUGUUGUAUCAGAAAACCACUACAAAAUUCACAAGCCAUGACAUAAUUAGUAACGAUAGCUAAUAUUAAUUAACAAAUAUUAACCAUACUAACAAUUUAAAUUUGUGUUAGUAAAUGUACCCUGUUCC
This 245-nucleotide long non-coding RNA is filed under the name Glycine max (soybean). RNAcentral's name for it is "long non-coding RNA (GMAX_LNC003969)". Lineage: Eukaryota; Viridiplantae; Streptophyta; Magnoliopsida; Fabales; Fabaceae. The record is from RNAcentral.